RNAcentral lists this ribosomal RNA (497 nucleotides) under uncultured bacterium. RNAcentral's name for it is "partial 16S ribosomal RNA". It matches the Rfam family "Bacterial small subunit ribosomal RNA", at positions 28 to 507 of the family's 1533-position model. The record is from RNAcentral.
GAUGAACGCUGGCGGCGUGCCUAAUACAUGCAAGUCGAGCGAACAGACGCGGUGCUUGCUCCUCUGACGUUAGCGGCGGACGGAUGACUAACACAAGGAUAACCUACCUAUAAGACUGGGAUAACUUAGGGAAACCGGUACCAAUAACGGAUAAUAUCUUGAAGCGCAUGGUUCAAUAGUGAAAGACGGUUUUGCUGGACCUUCUGGAUAGCUCCGCGCCGCAUUAGCUAGUUGGUAAGGUAACUGCUUACCAAGGCAAGCAUGCGUAGCCGACCUGAGAGGGUGAAGGGCCACACUGGAAGCGAGACACGGUACUGACUCCUACGGGAGGCAGCAGUAGCGAAUCGUCCGCAAUGGGCGAAAGCUUGCCGGAGCGACGCCGCGCUAGUGAUGAAGGUCUUCGGAUCGUAAAACUCUGUUAUUGGGGAAGAACAAAUGUGUAAGUAGCUAUGCACGUCUUGACGGUACCUGAUCAGAAAGCCACGGCUAACUACGUG